Long non-coding RNA from Mastomys coucha (southern multimammate mouse), 1335 nucleotides. RefSeq lists it as uncharacterized. The transcript is spliced from 2 exons. The record is from RefSeq and is a predicted model, not a curated record. Lineage: Eukaryota; Metazoa; Chordata; Mammalia; Rodentia; Muridae.
GAGAAAGUCAACAUAGCUGAACCACAGAACAAUGACCUUAAACACCAUUUAUGAAGCAUUAAGAAGAAACAAAGAAUCUUUGAUCCAGUGGCUAACUCCAGUGCAAGGAUAGGAAAUAUGCAACAAAAAUAUGGACUAUAUUAUGAAAUCAUACAUCAAAUACAUUGACAAAGACAAUUGAAAAGAGCCCAAGUGACAAAGGAGUCAAUUGAAGAUUUGAGUGAUUUUGCUACACCAAUUGUGAAGAGCAUUUCCUGUUCACAUUUUAGAACUAUGAGAGCUUGGAAGAUUCAUUUGACUGGAACUAGGUAAUCAAUAGUAGAUUCUGUUGACAGUUUUCUCUUUCUUACUCUCCAGGAGCACUACCCUUCUCUAAAGGAUUGCUGAGUGACAUGUCAUUGAUGAAAUUCCUUUCAGAACAUUGAUCACUGACGAAGGUCAAUGAGUCAGAGAAGGUCGUAAUUUACAUCUCUGGUCAAUUAAUAUGUCCCUAGAAAAAAGACUCAUAUUUAACUUUGUUGUUAUCGAUAAAAAGAGAUGAAGGGCCCUAGAGCUAGAACAAAACUGGACAGAGACCAAUAUCAUGAAUGACUGCCAAAUGCCCCAGGACACAUGGAAGUCAUUUGUAGUUUCAACGAUUACUGGAAGAAGAGUUCAGCAGAUCCUUUUAAGAUAGCAACAUUCCAGGGAGUUCUUCGAAGUGAAUAGAAUAAUUCCCUUGGCCUCUGAUAAAUCAACUGAAAAUAGUGAUAAAGAAUCUUAGAAAUGUGUAUAAGUGCUUCCAUCACACUGGAUUCUUGAAGCCUUUUAAUGCCCUGGAACUUAAUGAAACAAAUAAAUAAACAAAAAUUAUGAGGCCUGAAUUAUGAAGAAUAAAUCCCGAAUUUCUCCCAGGCUGCUUUUGUGACCAGCCGAAUGUCAAGAAAUGGUUAACAUUAUCUCUUAUCUGAAGUCUUCAUAUAGUCUUGCCAGCUUCUGCCUUUCUCUUUGGACAUGGAGUACAUUCUCUGUACAUGAGGCCAUAUAAGCAAUGGAGGCUUUUUGAAGUCAGUAUGUUUUCUGUUAGGGACAUUGAAAAAUGCCCUCCUAAUAGGUAAUACCACAAAUACCCUAACUUGGGAAUAAAUCUCUUUCUUUGCAGAACUAUAAUCUAACAAUACUUUUUAAUCAUCUCUGACUUUUCCAAUUUUAGACUUUCCUUUUUAUUUCUCAUGUAGAGAACUUUCUCCUAAUUCUACCCUUUCUGUAUUGGUUCAGUAUUCUUUCUUUAUUUUUUCUACCACUGUCUAAAAAGCCUUUAAAUUGACUUGGAAUAAAUUUUUAAGUCCAAACCCA